AAACUGCCAGUAGAGAUCACAGGAGCUGGAGCCGGGACAGGAGGAGAGCUGCAGCGAGAGAGACAGCGGGAGAGUGAGAGAGGGUGAGAAGAAAAAGCAUCAAGAGAAGAAAGACUGAUCAGCACAUCAGUAAAGAGCAAAAUGAUGGUCAUCAUCAUAACAAUGGCAAUAAAAGAAGAAAAUAUAAAUAAAGGAAAGAAAAUAUAAAAUAACAAUAAUAAUUAUUAUUAUAAAGGAGAAAAUCCCAGAGAAAUUCAGGGAAUGAAAGUUUUGGGCGGCAAACCUGCUCUCUGCCUUUUUGAUAUCAGAUCCUUUUGCUGGUCAUAAUUUUUUUUUCAUUUUUUUUCUGCCUUUUUUAGCAUCUAAAGAGGGCAUGUCCAGCGGUUCCUCCAGCAGCAUCCACCCCUCCUGCUCCCAUCAGGAAGGCAAACCGAGGACAAUCUUGAAAUAUACAAAUUUCCUCUUUGGGAUUUGCUGCUGCUGCCUCCACUGCCGCUGCAGCGGUGCAGUGCCAAGACUCUCGGAAUAAAUAAGAGCGGGCUACUGUGUAUACUGUGUGUAUAGCUAUCUCCAUACAGCUCUAGGUAUUAUUAGUUGGUCAUUUAUUUCGAAGAUCACAGAUGAGGUGGGGACGCCUAUCUUCUUCGUUUGCUCGGCUUGUGAAAUAAUCAUAAAAGGAGGGAAAUGGGGGAGAAAAAAAUCCUAAUAUGAAGCAGAAGGAAUAAUAAUAAUAAUUAAAAAAACCUAGAUCUAAAUCCCACUCAGAUCCCCCUCCCUCCCUCCACGCACGCACACUGCCCUAAGUAUUUUGAGAGGAGGAGGUGGUGGUUUCUGAAGGAGGAAGUGGUGUUGGGGGGGGGGAUCUCUUUCCCCAUUUGGAGAUGAUUGUGCUAUUCCUCCUUGCCUUGCUCUGGAUGGUGGAGGGAGCCCUUUCUCAGCUUCACUACACGGUGCAAGAGGAGCAGGAGCAUGGCACGUUCGUGGGGAAUAUCGCCGAGGACCUGGGCUUGGACAUUACAAAACUUUCGGCUCGCCGCUUCCAGACGGUACCCAACUCUCGGAGCCCUUACCUAGAGCUCAACCUGGAGACUGGGGUGCUGUACGUGAACGAGAAGAUCGACCGGGAGCAGAUCUGCAAGCAGAACCCCCCCUCCUGCCAGCUGCACCUGGAGGUCUUUUUGGAGAACCCCCUGGAGCUGUUCCGGGUGGAGAUCGAGGUGCUGGACAUCAACGACAAUCCGCCCUCCUUCCCGGAGCCCGACCUGACCGUGGAGAUCUCCGAGAGCGCCACGCCAGGCACUCGCUUCCCACUGGAGAGCGCCUUCGACCCGGACGUGGGCACCAACUCGCUGCGCACCUACGAGAUCACCCCCAACAGCUACUUCUCGCUGGACGUGCAGACCCAGGGCGACGGCAACCGCUUCGCCGAGCUGGUGCUGGACAAGCCCCUGGACCGCGAGCAGCAGGCGGUGCACCGCUACGUGCUGACAGCGGUGGACGGAGGCCAACCCCAGCAGCGCACCGGCACCGCCCUGCUCACCAUCAGGGUGCUGGACUCCAAUGACAACGUGCCCGCCUUCGAGCAGCCCGUCUACACAGUGUCCCUGCCGGAGAACUCGCCGCCGGGCACCCUGGUGCUGCAGCUCAACGCCAGCGAUCCGGACGAGGGCCAGAACGGCGAGGUCAUCUAUUCCUUCAGCAGCCACAUCUCGGCGCGGGCCCGGGAGCUCUUCGGCAUCUCGCCGCGCACGGGGCGGCUGGAGGUGAGCGGCGAGCUGGACUACGAGGAGAGCAGCGUGUACCAGGUGUACGUGCAAGCCAAGGACCUGGGCCCCAACGCCGUGCCCGCCCACUGCAAGGUGCUGGUGCGGGUGCUGGACGCCAACGACAACCCGCCCGAGAUCAGCUUCUCCACCGUCAAGGAGGCGGUGAGCGAGGCGGCCUCGCCGGGCACGGUGGUGGCCCUGUUCAGCGUCUCGGACCGAGACUCGGAGGAGAACGGGCAGGUGCAGUGCGAGCUCCUACAGGGCGACGCGCCCUUCCGCCUCAAGAGCUCCUUCAAGAACUACUACACCAUCGUCACCGAGGGGCCGCUAGACCGCGAGCAGCCGGGCGGCGACGCCUAUACCCUCACGGUGGUGGCGCGGGACAUGGGCGAGCCGGCGCUGAGCACCAGCAAGUCCAUCCAGGUGCGGGUGAGCGACGUGAACGACAACGCGCCGCGCUUCAGCCAGCCCCUCUACCAGGUCUAUGUGAGCGAGAACAACGUGCCGGGCGCCUACAUCUACGCCGUGAGCGCCACCGACCGGGACCAGGGCGCCAACGCCCAGCUCGCCUACUCCAUCCUGGAGAGCCAGAUCCAGGGCAUGUCCGUCUUCACCUACGUCUCCAUCAACGCCGAGAACGGCUUCCUCUACGCCCUGCGCUCCUUCGACUACGAGCAGCUCAAGGAGUUCAGCUUCCAGGUGGAGGUGCGCGACGCGGGCGAGGAGCCCCAGCCCCUGUCCGGCAACGCCACGGUCAGCAUCAUCGUGGUGGACCAGAACGACAACGCGCCCGCCAUCGUCAGCCCCCUGCCCGGCCGCAACGGCACCCCGGCCCGGGAGGUGCUGCCGCGCAGCGCCGAGCCCGGCUACCUGGUGAGCCGGGUGGCGGCGGUGGACGCGGACGACGGGGAGAACGCGCGCCUCACCUACAGCAUCGCGCGGGGCAACGAGGCCAGCCUCUUCCGCAUGGACUGGCGCACCGGGGAGCUGCGCACCGCGCGCAAGGUGCCGGCCAAGCGCGACCCCCAGCGGCCCUUCGAGCUGGUGAUCGAGGUGCGGGACCACGGGCAGCCGCCGCUCUCCUCCACCACCGCCAUCCAGGUGAUGCUGGUGGACAGCGCGGUGGAGCGCCAGGGAGGCGGCGGCCUGGGCGCGGGGGGUGGCGGCGGUGGGGGAGGGGCGGGAGGGGAGCAUCGCCCCAGCCGCUCCGGGGGCGAGACCUCGCUGGACCUGACCCUCAUCCUGAUCAUCGCCCUGGGCUCCGUGUCGUUCAUUUUCCUGCUUGCCAUGAUCGUGCUGGCCGUGCGCUGCCAAAAGGAGAAGAAGCUCAACAUCUACACCUGCCUGGCCAGCGACUGCUGCCUGGGUUGCUGCUGCUGCUGCCCCUGCUGCAGCCGCCAAGCCCGGGCCCGCAAGAAGAAGCUGAGCAAGUCGGACAUCAUGCUGGUGCAGAGCUCCAACGUACCCAGUAACCCGGCCCAGGUCCCCGUGGAGGAAUCGGGCAGCUUCGGAUCCCACCAUCACAACCAGAACUACUGCUACCAGGUCUGCCUCACUCCGGAGUCAGCCAAGACCGACCUGAUGUUCCUCAAGCCCUGCAGCCCAUCUCGGAGCACAGACACUGAGCACAACCCCUGCGGAGCCAUAGUGACAGGUUACACGGACCAGCAACCAGACAUCAUCUCCAAUGGCAGCAUAUUGUCCAACGAGACAAAACAUCAGCGUGCAGAGCUCAGUUAUCUAGUUGAUAGACCCCGACGGGUAAACAGUUCUGCAUUCCAGGAAGCAGACAUAGUAAGCUCUAAGGACAGUGGUCAUGGAGACAGCGAGCAAGGAGACAGUGAUCAUGAUGCCACUAAUCGAGGUCAAUCCUCUGGCAUGGAUCUCUUCUCCAAUUGCACAGAGGAAUGUAAAGCGCUGGGCCACUCGGAUCGGUGCUGGAUGCCCUCCUUUGUCGCAUCCGAUGGACGCCAGGCUGCAGAUUAUCGCAGCAAUCUGCAUGUGCCCGGUAUGGACUCUGUUCCAGACACUGAAGUGUUUGAAACACCAGAAGCCCAGCCUGGAACAGAGAGGUCCUUUUCCACCUUCGGCAAGGAGAAGGCCCUUCACAAUACUCUGGAGAGGAAGGAGUUGGAUGGACUGCUGACUAAUACACGAGCGCCUUACAAACCACCAUAUUUGAUAUGUCAGAGGUAGGAAGCCUGUGAGAGAACAGCAGCAGAACAGGCACAACAUGGACAGCGGCAAUGUAAGGCAGGAACUAACCAAGCUUAGCUACACUAUUCACCAAUGUGCCUCAACCUGGACCUGGAGUCUCCCUACAUUUAUAAUCUUUGACCACGAUUAUGGUUAUGAUUUUGUUUGAUAUGAACUCCAGGGCUCCCGUCCUGCAAAGACUUAGGUACAUGCUUAACUUUGCAUGCAUGUAGCUUAACUUCCCAUUGAAGUCAACAGAAUUGCUCUUAUGCAUCAAGUUAAGUAUAUGCAUAUAUCUUUGAAGAACUGAUUGCCUAGGAACUGGACUAUCAACUAAUCUCAAACAAGCUACCAAAGAACAAUAAUAAGCGCGGAAAAGGAUAUGCUAGUCAAUUCUACAGGACUUACCUGAAGCAGCAUGAUUUGCACAAAAGUCAACCAACAAAAAGCAUCAACUUUUCAACUUCAUUAUCUUGGCCAUCCAGUUCUAUGUAACUGAAAGAUUUGUGUGCUGUUGGAGACAUCAUGGCCAACAAUAGGACCUAAUUGCUCUCAGCAGGCCUGAGAAAUGAGUUGAAAUGUGUGGAACUGUAGAAACUUCAGAGGCAACUGAUCUUGCCUUUCUGAUCAGUGUGUGCCUGUUUACAGCACUAUAUAUCUUUCUCUCUCCAAAAUGUCACUGAGCCCUUUAGAUGUUUAUAUUCACCACAAGAAGCCAAUCGUACAGAUAAAAGAAAUGUGCAUUAUAAAUGCAAUAUCACUGUUUUAAACUUGACUGUUUUAUAUUAUUUUUGUGUGAUCAAGUGUUCCCCAAACUAUCCCAACUUUACAAGAGAGAUUGUGAUCAUAAUCUUUUCACCUGUGGGUCAUAAAAAUGUUGUUAAUCUGCAGACCCACAAAAUAUCAAAGACAUUCUGUAGUUUAUACACGUGUUGCAAAGUGUUUACUGUACUAUUUCAAAGCUUCUAAAUAAAUAUAAAAUAUAUAUAUAUUAUAUUAUAUAUAAUUUUCCGAAAAAUGUGGUACAAUUUAGUUGAUUUUUAAAUGGAUUCAUAUAGUCCAAACCAUACACUAAAGUGAGAAGGUAAUUCAGGGUCCCUAAGUUAUCCUUGCUAAAAAAUAAAUAAAUCUUUAAUAAUAUUUCCCCAAUUUUGGUAUUUUGGUCAGUCCUGUUUUUUCUUUGUUGUUGUUGUUUGUUUUUGUUAUUUUUAAAGCUGUAAGAAACAACAUUUUGUUUAGAAGUUGUACUGAAUUUUCAAUGCCAAAGAUGCAGCUGUCAGUUUUACCAGAAUGAGCACUGACUAUGUACUAUCAAAAGUAUAUAUCAAUCUUCAUUAUUUUGAUUCUAUUUGUAUGGUUUUUAAUUUGGUAUCACAACACCUUUUAUAAAGGAUCUAUAAACUCACCUGUAUAUGUUGUUAAAAAGAACACUGGGUGUCUGUACAUUUUGAAAUGUAAGAUGUAAUGUAACUGAAGAUAACUGUUCUAAGGAAAUCAUUCCAAACUCCUAACACACACAUCUUUCUUUGACAUAAUUUUGUGCAAACCUAAGCAAAUAUAUAUAUCUUUUCAUCUUGGCUAGAAAUGGUUUUUGAUAAAAGACAAAUCACAAAGGCAUAGAGUUGGCUGAGCCGUUAUUUUUUCUUCUUUUUUUACAUUGAAGAGAUUUGGAGUAGGAACAUGGCACAUUUCAGGCUGACCCUACUCUCAUUGGAAUUAAUAGGAGAUUGACCAAUUAUUUCAUUGGGAGCAGGAUCAAGCCUGUCCAUAUUGUUUUUACCUUUUUUAAUAAUUCAACAGACUGAAAUGUUAUCUCACAGAUUCAUACAUAUAUAAAAAAACUUUUUUGAAAAGAAAAGCCUUGAAAAGUAAAGUUUAACUUUACUUUCAAGUCCACAGAGUUGAAGUAUCAUUUACAAGUGUAAAAUCUAGUAAGAUGUUUUCUUUUUUACAUUCUCUACUGUACUGUUCCUUCUAUAUUUCCUAAUUAUUGCCUGUCAAAUACUGAAUCGAAAUUAUAGAAUUUUGUGUUAUUAGCCCAUUGAUGUCAAUAGAACAUGGAAUUCCCAUUGACUUCUAUGACUUUGGAUCAGGCCCAGAUUCUGAAAGCCUUGUCAGUGCUGAGUAUAUGUCACAGCAUGAGUAAGAGUGACAGAAUCUGACCCCCAAGUGGUGGAAGUUGUUUUUGUUUUUCCUUUUUUUCCAAUGGCAAUUGCUAUUAGAUAGAGACAUGCAGAUCAUUUGUAUGGAGUCUGCCAUACUAUUGAUGCACACAAGACUCUCACUGCUUUCAGUGAGAGUUCCAUGCACAGAAUGCUACCUGGAUUGAGCCCUAAUGUCAUCAGUUUAUUUCAUAAGUCUAACAAAAUAGGCUUGUUAAACACUUUUAACACAUAUUUCUAGCUUAUUUGUACAAUUUACAAAAACUUCUUGGGAUCCUUUUUAAAAUGUAUAUAUAAAAAUCACAAAAAAGCACAGAAAAUAACUAUUGAUCUAAACAAACACAGCAGUAGGAUGUUUCUUUAGCUUUAGGUAAUGGGACUUUAGUCACCUACAUGCCUUGUUAGUUUUAUGAAAAAAUGGGCUAUUUUAGUAAUGAAAUGUGUGAAUUAUAUUUCAUUUUAAGAAGUCUGUCAAUUUGUUGUUGCUGCUUUUAAGGCAAGAAAGUGAUUGCCCUUGCUGGAACUGGUUUUGCUUUAUUUCUAAACCUCUCUUUAAACUGAGAUAUAUACUGUAAAAUAAGGUUGUUUUCAGUCUUGGGAGGGGAAAAAAAUCACAUUUUUCUUUUUUAAUAGACUAGUGAAGUGCUUUUUAUUUACUUAAACCUCAUUCACACGUUGCAUGCAAUUUUUUUAAAAUAACCAUAUCAAAAUGAUUUCAUACAUCUCCAUGAUUGGACUUGUUCCAUGAACUCUGUACUGUCUAUGUACUUGCAUACAUCCAUUUCAUUUUUUACCAUAACUAAUCCUGCUAUCAGUCCACACAAAAUAAUCUUAUUGAGUGCAGUGGGAGAGCCACAUGUAGAACAAUGGUCAGACUGAGCACUAUUUAGGUCUAGAUUGUGUUUGUAGCACUUAGCUGAUAGUAAAAAGCAGCAUGUAGCUGCAUUGCCACAGGAAGAGUUUUGCACUCCAAAUAACUGAAUAACCAGUUCAGGUGCAGGUCUGGAAAAACAAAUUAAAUAUAUUUUGGGUCAACCUGAAAUGAGAAUGUUUCAAAAUUUUCUGUGAGCCAAAAUGUAAAAGAAUAGAUUCAUUUUGGGCUGACCAAAUUGUUUCCAUAGACCCGAAAUGAAUAUUUGUUUUUUAGAUUUAAUUUUUUAAAAAUAAAUAUGAAAUUGAGAGAAAUUCUGAAACAAACUGUCUUUCUGAAAGAAAAUAAUCCAGAUUUCUAACUUUUUAAAUUGUUUUUUGACUGAAAAAAAUUGCCAAUUGACUUGAAUUUGUAAAUUGUUUCAUCUAAUCCAAAUCUGUGUUUUUUGGCAAAAUAAAGUUUUGCAUGACAAAUUUCACCAAGCCCUACCUGGGCUGCAUUUUGCUCCUGAGAAACACAAUCAUUCCCAUGACCCUUCAUUGCACUGGAAGGGAAGCAUGCUCCUCACCUUGCAUUCAGGCAGUUGUGCUGGCUAUUACAUGGGGUGUACAGUUCUAUAGGCUUGAUUUCAAAAUAUAUUUAGGCACCUAUAGAUGCAAAUAGGCAUCCUGUGGAAUUUUCAAAAGAGCCUAGGUGCCGAAUUAAUCACUAGCUGCUUAUCUGCAUCUUUAGGAAUCUAAAGACAUUUAAAAAUUUAGCACUAGGUCUCUCCCACUUCCCCCAGUUCCCACCCUCUUGCUCUGAGGGGAAGCUUGAAUAUGUACUUGCAUUCAUCUGAACACCAAGGCCUGGAUCUACAUAUAGCUCUAAAUAGAUGUAUAGGGACUGAGCUAUCUAGCCUUUCCUGCAUGGCUACAUUGAGGUUAGGAACAAUCUAGCUCUGAAUUAGGUGUCUAAUAUAUAUCUAUAUAUAUCUAUAUAUCUAUAGAUAUAGAUAUAGAUAUAUAAUCGGCCCAAUACUGCAAGUUCUCAUUGUGCAGAACUGCCCCUGAAGUCAAUGGGAGUUACAUACAGAAAAGUCUUUCAAGAUCAGAUCCUAUGAAGGAUAAGGAGAGGAUAAUAUUUAUUUAUUUAUUUUAAAUUCAUUUUAGAUACAUAUGAGAGAAUUUCUAAGUGGCUUACCCAUUCAGUUUCUUCAAAGCCUUUCCAGACUGACUUUGUGCCAGAAUGUCAAAUUGUAAUAAACUCUUUAGCUAUUUUUAAAAAAAACAGGUAGUUUAACAUAGGGUUUUAUUAAAUUAUAUUUUCUAAGGAAAAAAUGAAGUAUUUCACAUAAUGUAUUAUCAGCUGACUUGACCAGUAUUUAGAAAGUUAAUAAAGUGAAUAUAAGUUUAUUGCUGAGAAACUUCCCAGUGUUACGAAAGGAUGUUGAAUGACCUACAUACAGAUGAAUACAGUUUCAUCUAUUUGUGAGGGUUCUAAUUUAUAAAUAAUAUCCAUAAUAUAUGGAGAUAAUUUUAAUUAAAAUCUAAAAAGCUGCAACUGAGUUUCUUUCAGAGGUGUACCAUCCAUGUAAAAAAAUGAGAUUACUUAUUAUAGAGCUAAUGGCUCCAUAAUGAAGACUGAAUUAAGUUUUCCAUGUAAAGUGGGAAUUCAGCCUCUUUGUUAUGCAUUAUAUUACUCUCUCUCUCUCUCUCUCUCUCUCUCACACACACACACACACACACACACACACACAGACAUACAAAAUUUUACUUGUCCAUAGAUAAGAAAAAACACAUUUUUCAUUACUAUAAUUCGUCAUGGUUAAGGGCAGAUGAGUAGAUAUUCUUCCUGAAAUGGUGUAUUUCCUUGGUAGUAUUGCAAACUGUUAUGUAUUUAUAUGGCCUUUAUUUAUUUUUUUAAAAAGGGCUAGGCAUACUCUCCCAUUGUUCUAUGUUUGGAUCUCCAAUUUAUUUCCAGGAAAAGUUUUGUAUAAAAAUCUUUAAAUCCUAAUUCAAAAUAAGCAACUUUGAUGUAAAUUUAGUCAUUUCAGUUUUACUGCAACACAUUGGCACCAGAUGUCUAUAAAUAUGGGAAAGUUGUUUAAUCUAUUUGAAGUACAGUGCAGCAGGCCAAUAAGACGUCAUUAUGCUAUUACCACUAUGAAAAAUUCUGAAACUGAGUUUAAUCUGUUCCACUGAUCCCCACAAUCAGAACCCAAAAGCUUCUUAAAAAGCUCUUCCAUUUUAUUUUCUCACUAAUCUGCUAAUCUGUUUUGGUAUAAAGUAGAUACACAUACAAAUACACACACACACACACUUAAAAACCAUUGUUCAAAAUCUGUGUCUUUGUAGAUAUCCUCAUAUGUAAAGAAAUGGGCAAAAACAAACUUGGACAGCUUUCUUGAACUGAAAUUGUUUUUGAAUUUGAAUUUGUUAAUAAAGUUCAUGAUAUUGUA
Molecule: RNA transcript, 9435 nt
Organism: Chrysemys picta bellii (western painted turtle)
Lineage: Eukaryota; Metazoa; Chordata; Testudines; Emydidae
Gene: PCDH10
Gene name: protocadherin 10
Source: RefSeq, a predicted model, not a curated record